AAUAGAUACCCAGGUAGUCCACGCCGUAAACGAUGAGUGCUAAGUGUUGGGGGGUUUCCGCCCCUCAGUGCUGCAGCUAACGCAUUAAGCACUCCGCCUGGGGAGUACGGUCGCAAGACUGAAACUCAAAGGAAUUGACGGGGGCCCGCACAAGCGGUGGAGCAUGUGGUUUAAUUCGAAGCAACGCGAAGAACCUUACCAGGUCUUGACAUCCCGGUGACCACUAUGGAGACAUAGUUUCCCCUUCGGGGGCAACGGUGACAGGUGGUGCAUGGUUGUCGUCAGCUCGUGUCGUGAGAUGUUGGGUUAAGUCCCGCAACGAGCGCAACCCUUAUUCUUAGUUGCCAUCAUUCAGUUGGGCACUCUAAGGAGACUGCCGGUGAUAAACCGGAGGAAGGUGGGGAUGACGUCAAAUCAUCAUGCCCUUUAUGACCUGGGCUACACACGUGCUACAAUGGACGGUACAAACGGUUGCCAACCCGCGAGGGGGAGCUAAUCCGAUAAAACCGUUCUCAGUUCGGAUUGUAGGCUGCAACUCGCCUAC
Molecule: ribosomal RNA, 544 nt
Filed under: uncultured bacterium
Lineage: Bacteria
Description: bacterial SSU rRNA
Rfam family: Bacterial small subunit ribosomal RNA
Source: RNAcentral